CCUACGGGAGGCAGCAGUGAGGGAUAUUGCGCAAUGGGCGAAAGCCUGACGCAGCGACGCCGCGUGGGCGAGGAAGGCCUUCGGGUUGUAAAGCCCUUUUGGCAGGGAAGAGCAAGGACUGUACCUGCAGAACAAGUCACGGCUAACUACGUGCCAGCAGCCGCGGUAAAACGUAGGAGGCAAGCGUUAUCCGGAUUCACUGGGCGUAAAGCGCGUGCAGGUGGUGCUGUAAGUUGGGCGUGAAAUCUCCUGGGUUAACUGGGAGGGGCCGUUCAAUACUGAAGCACUUGAGGGCAGGAGAGGGAGGUGGAAUUCCCGGUGUAGGGGUGAAAUGCGUAGAUAUCGGGAGGAACACCAGUGGCGAAGGCGGCCUCCGGGCCUGUUCCUGACACUAAGACGCGAAAGCUAGGGGAGCGAACGGGAUUAGAUACCCCUGUAGU
Molecule: ribosomal RNA, 440 nt
Filed under: uncultured Anaerolineae bacterium
Lineage: Bacteria; Bacillati; Chloroflexota; Anaerolineae
Description: partial 16S ribosomal RNA
Rfam family: Bacterial small subunit ribosomal RNA
Source: RNAcentral